GGCUGGUCAAAGUGCAACGGUUUUACAACUAAUUGAUCACAACCAGUUACAGAUUUUUUUUUUGUUCCUUUUCCACUCCAACUGCUUCACUUGACUAGCCUAGG
Macaca fascicularis (crab-eating macaque) is the source of this 104-nucleotide Y RNA. It matches the Rfam family "Y RNA". Rfam says of the family: Y RNAs are components of the Ro ribonucleoprotein particle (Ro RNP), in association with Ro60 and La proteins. The Y RNAs and Ro60 and La proteins are well conserved, but the function of the Ro RNP is not known. In humans the RNA component can be one of four small RNAs -- hY1, hY3, hY4 and hY5. NCBI's taxonomy places the organism in Eukaryota, Metazoa, Chordata, Mammalia, Primates, Cercopithecidae. The record is from Ensembl.